RNAcentral lists this ribosomal RNA (485 nucleotides) under uncultured bacterium. RNAcentral's name for it is "bacterial SSU rRNA". It matches the Rfam family "Bacterial small subunit ribosomal RNA", at positions 29 to 507 of the family's 1533-position model. The record is from RNAcentral.
AUGAACGCUAGCGAUAGGCUUAACACAUGCAAGUCGAGGGGCAGCACAAGGGUAGCAAUACUCUGGUGGCGACCGGCGUACGGGUGCGUAACACGUAUGCAACCUUCCUGUAAGUGUGGGAUAGCCUCCUGAAAGGGAGAUUAAUACCUCAUGAUAUGUAUUUGCUGCAUGGCAUUUACAUUAAACAUUUAUGGCUUACAGAUGGGCAUGCGUUCCAUUAGGCAGUUGGUGUGGUAACGGCUCACCAAACCUACGAUGGAUAGGGGUUCUGAGAGGAAGGUCCCCCACACUGGAACUGAGACACGGUCCAGACUCCUACGGGAGGCAGCAGUGAGGAAUAUUGGUCAAUGGGCGCGAGCCUGAACCAGCCACGUCGCGUGAAGGAUGACGGCCUUAUGGGUUGUAAACUUCUUUUACAGGGGAAUAAAGUGAGUCACGUGUGAUUUUUGCAUGUACCCUGUGAAUAAGCAUCGGCUAACUCCGUG